AAGCCCCUUCGGGGGCUGGAGGAGCGGCUAACGGGGUAGUAAGGCGUAGGUAACGUACCCCCAGGACCGGGAUAGCCGGGGGAAACUCCGGGUAAUACCGGACGAUCUCUUCGGGCGUGAUGCCUGAGGAGCAAAUGGUGAGAUUCCGCCUGGGGAGCGGCUUACGUGGUACUAGGUAGUUGGCGGGGUAACGGCCCACCAAGCCUGAGAUGCCUAGGGGGUGUGAGAGCAUGGCCCCCACCACUGGGACUGAGAUACUGCCCAGACACCUACGGGUGGCUGCAGUCGAGAAUCUUCGGCAAUGCGCGCAAGCGUGACCGAGCGACGCCGCGUGCGGGAUGAAGGCCCUUGGGUUGUAAACCGCUGUCAGAGGGGAGGAAAUCAUUGGGGGUUAUCCCCCAGUGUUGACCGAGCCUCAGAGGAAGCACGGGCUAAGUUCGUGCCAGCAGCCGCGGUAAUACGAACUGUGCGAACGUUACUCGGAAUCACUGGGCUUAAAGGGUGCGUAGGCGGCCCUUCAAGUCGGGUGUGAAAGUCUCCGGCCUAACCGGAGAAUUGCGCCCGAAACUAGAGGGCUUGAGUGCGCUAGGGGUGUGCGGAACUUCCGGUGGAGCGGUGAAAUGUGUUGAUAUCGGAAGGAACGCCGGUGGCGAAAGCGGCACACUGGGGCGCAACUGACGCUGAGGCACGAAAGCCAGGGGAGCGAACGGGAUUAGAUACCCCGGUAGUCCUG
RNAcentral lists this ribosomal RNA (733 nucleotides) under uncultured Planctomycetota bacterium. RNAcentral describes it as "bacterial SSU rRNA". It matches the Rfam family "Bacterial small subunit ribosomal RNA", at positions 72 to 798 of the family's 1533-position model. Lineage: Bacteria; Pseudomonadati; Planctomycetota. The record is from RNAcentral.